AUUGCAACUGCAGACCGUUACCUGGCAUGCUGGCUGCUACCUCGCUCACUCUUGUCAGAGUCGGAGCUACAGUCAGUGCCUUCAGCUCUGAGCUCAGGCAUACCGGUCCCUGUUUUUGCAGUUAAGGACUCUAAAGUGUUGUGACGUGUUCAUCAAGUUUUUCUCAACCAUAAGUUAACAAUUCCAGUAAUUGUCAUCUCUCAGUCCUGAUUAAACCUAAUUGAUUUCACUAGUUUUUGACCCAUCAUGUGUUUGGGUUUCUUCUCCCCAGUCCCUGGCUCUACCUCUUCUGCCACAAACGUCAGCAUGGUGGUAUCUGCCGACCCUUUGUCCAGCGAGAGGGCAGAGAUGAACAUCCUAGAAAUCAACCAGGAAUUGCGCUCCCAGCUGGCAGAGAGCAAUCAGCAGUUCCGAGACCUCAAAGAGAAAUUCCUUAUAUCUCAAGCUACUGCCUACUCCCUGGCCAACCAGCUGAAGAAAUACAAAAAGCAAAAUGAUCUUGAAGAGGUGAAAGGACAAGAAACAGUUGCUCCCAGGCUCAGCAGGGGACCACUGAGAGUAGACAAGUAUGAAAUCCCCCAGGAGUCACUGGAUGGAUGUUGCUUGACUCCUUCCAUCCUUCCUGACCUGACUCCCUCCUACCACCCUUAUUGGAGCACUUUGUACUCUUUUGAAGACAAGCAAGUCAGCUUGGCUCUUGUAGACAAAAUUAAAAAGGAUCAAGAGGAGGUAGAAGACCAAAGCCCACCAUGCCCCAGGCUCAGCCAGGAGCUGCCAGAGGUGAAGGAGCAGGAAGUCCCAGAGGACUCCGUGAAUGAAGUUUACUUGACUCCCUCAGUUCACCAUGAUGUGUCUGACUGCCACCAGCCUUAUAGCAGCACCUUGUCCUCAUUGGAGGAUCAGCUUGCCUGCUCUGCUCUGGAUGUAGCCUCCCCCACCGAGGCGGCCUGUCCCCAAGGGACUUGGAGUGGAGACUUGAGCCACCACCGGUCAGAGGUUCAAAUUUCACAGGCACAGCUGGAACCAAGCACCCUGGUGCCCAAUUGUCUGCGACUACAGCUGGAUCAAGGGUUCCACUGUGGGAACGGCUUGCCCCAGCGGGGCCUUUCCUCCAUGACCUGCAGCUUCUCAGCCAAUGCUGAUUCUGGGAACCAAUGGCCCUUCCAAGAGCUGGUUUUAGAGCCCUCUCUGGGGAUGAAGAACCCUCCCCAGCUGGAAGAUGAUGCACUUGAAGGCUCAGCAAGCAACACACAAGGGCGUCAAGUCACUGGCCGGAUUCAUGCCUCCCUUGUCCUGAUACUGAAGAUCAUCAAAAGAAGACUCCCGUUCAGCAAGUGGAGACUGGCAUUCAGAUUCGCUGGCCCGCAUGCUUAGAGUGCAGAGAUACCAAAUACUGCUGGAAGGAUGCAAAGGAUGAUAGGAUGAAAGAAUGUCACAAAAAGCAGCUUUUCCACUUGAUAAAAACAACUAAAACGCAAAGCAAGUUCAAGUCCCAACACAAUACUGCAGGGGUCCUUCACUGAGGAUUGAAUUUCAGACACAGAAUACUCUUGAUGACUUCAAGCCACUAUGCUCCUUUG
This 1580-nucleotide long non-coding RNA is filed under the name Homo sapiens (human). Its description in RNAcentral is "novel transcript". Lineage: Eukaryota; Metazoa; Chordata; Mammalia; Primates; Hominidae. The record is from RNAcentral.